CCUACGGGGUGCAGCAGUGGGGAAUAUUGCACAAUGGGGGAAACCCUGAUGCAGCUACGCCGCGUGAGUGAAGAAGUAUUUCGGUACGUAAAGCUCUAUCAGCAGGGAAGAAAAUGACGGUACCUGACUAAGAAGCCCCGGCUAACUACGUGCCAGCAGCCGCGGUAAUACGUAGGGGGCAAGCGUUAUCCGGAUUUACUGGGUGUAAAGGGAGCGUAGACGGCAGCGCAAGUCUGGAGUGAAAUCCCAUGGCUUAACCAUGGAACUGCUUUGGAAACUGUGCAGCUAGAGUGCAGGAGAGGUAAGCGGAAUUCCUAGUGUAGCGGUGAAAUGCGUAGAUAUUAGGAGGAACACCAGUGGCGAAGGCGGCUUACUGGACUGUAACUGACGUUGAGGCUCGAAAGCGUGGGGAGCAAACAGGAUUAGAUACCCUUGUAGUC
This 440-nucleotide ribosomal RNA is filed under the name uncultured bacterium. Its description in RNAcentral is "partial 16S ribosomal RNA". It matches the Rfam family "Bacterial small subunit ribosomal RNA", at positions 338 to 795 of the family's 1533-position model. The record is from RNAcentral.